UACGGAGGGUGCAAGCGUUAAUCGGAAUUACUGGGCGUAAAGCGCACGCAGGUGGCUGAGUCAGUCGAUUGUGAAAGCCCUGGGCUUAACCUGGGAAUUGCAGUCGAUACUACUCAGCUAGAGUAUGGGAGAGGGUAGUGGAAUUCCCGGUGUAGCGGUGAAAUGCGUAGAUAUCGGGAGGAACAUCAGUGGCGAAGGCGGCUUCCUGGACACCAACUGACGCUGAGACGCGAAAGCGUGGGGAGCAAACAGG
RNAcentral lists this ribosomal RNA (253 nucleotides) under uncultured bacterium. Its description in RNAcentral is "partial 16S ribosomal RNA". It matches the Rfam family "Bacterial small subunit ribosomal RNA", at positions 524 to 776 of the family's 1533-position model. The record is from RNAcentral.